UAGUCCACGCCGUAAACGAUGUCUACUUGGAGGUUGUGGCCUUGAGCCGUGGCUUUCGGAGCUAACGCGUUAAGUAGACCGCCUGGGGAGUACGGUCGCAAGAUUAAAACUCAAAUGAAUUGACGGGGCCCGCACAAGCGGUGGAGCAUGUGGUUUAAUUCGAUGCAACGCGAAGAACCUUACCUACUCUUGACAUCCAGAGAACUUAGCAGAGAUGCUUUGGUGCCUUCGGGAACUCUGAGACAGGUGCUGCAUGGCUGUCGUCAGCUCGUGUUGUGAAAUGUUGGGUUAAGUCCCGCAACGAGCGCAACCCUUAUCCUUGUUUGCCAGCGAGUAAUGUCGGGAACUCCAGGGAGACUGCCGGUGAUAAACCGGGAGGAAGGUGGGGACGACGUCAAGUCAUCAUGGCCCUUACGGGGCUGGGGCUACACACGUGCUACAAUGGCGGUUACAGUGGGCAGCUACACAGUGAUGUGAUGCUAAUCUCAAAAACCGUCU
Molecule: ribosomal RNA, 498 nt
Filed under: uncultured bacterium
Lineage: Bacteria
Description: bacterial SSU rRNA
Rfam family: Bacterial small subunit ribosomal RNA
Source: RNAcentral